GCAUAAUGUUCUAAGGCUAAAGAUGCGACGUCCUGUCGCAACGCCUUCAUGACCUACGUUCUGUGUG
This 67-nucleotide small RNA is filed under the name Paenisporosarcina sp. OV554. RNAcentral's name for it is "Bacillaceae-1 RNA". It matches the Rfam family "Bacillaceae-1 RNA". The record is from RNAcentral. Lineage: Bacteria; Bacillati; Bacillota; Bacilli; Caryophanales; Caryophanaceae.